AUACUUACCUGGCAGGGGAGAUACCAUGAUCCCAAAGGUGGUUUUCCCUGGGCGAGGCUUAUCCAUUGCACUCCGGAUGUGCUGACACCUGAGAUUUCCGCAAAUGCGGGAAACUCAACUGCAUAAUUUGUGGUAGUGGGGGACUGCAUUCGCACUUUCCCCUG
Molecule: small nuclear RNA, 164 nt
Organism: Cebus imitator (Panamanian white-faced capuchin)
Lineage: Eukaryota; Metazoa; Chordata; Mammalia; Primates; Cebidae
Gene: U1
Rfam family: U1 spliceosomal RNA
About the family: U1 is a small nuclear RNA (snRNA) component of the spliceosome (involved in pre-mRNA splicing). Its 5' end forms complementary base pairs with the 5' splice junction, thus defining the 5' donor site of an intron.
Source: Ensembl